Molecule: long non-coding RNA, 1892 nt
Organism: Cucumis melo (muskmelon)
Lineage: Eukaryota; Viridiplantae; Streptophyta; Magnoliopsida; Cucurbitales; Cucurbitaceae
Exons: 2
Source: RefSeq, a predicted model, not a curated record
AAAUUAUAAUAAUAAAACACUUUAUUAAUGGCAGUCAAUUGAUUAUAUUUACUAUCUACGAGUUUUAGGACAUAAAACCCAACAGAGUCAAGAAGUCAUCGAUUACAUGGUGAGACGGCAAGUGCACAGGAAGAUGAUGAAAUUAACUGAUUUAGCAAACUUUGGAGAUCACUUAUCUGAAACUGAGGGGUGGUAGGAUUAUCUGAAGUAGCAGCAACAACAGAGGAGUUCCUGGGUUUAGUGAAGUUCUUUGCUCUUGUAGAAUAGCUUCGAGGUCGAGGUGGUUUUAUGGGACAAUUAUCCAUAAUAUGACCUAGUUUAUAGCAGUACCUGCAUUCUAUUUUAGGACAAUCAAUAAAUUGAUGACCAGUGAGCUUACAAUUCUUACAAAAUGUGCUUGAUGCUCUAGGUGGUGAAUAAGUGCUGGCAAGAACAACAUCAGAAUGUUUAGAGAGAUUGAUGCCAAGAUGUUUUUCUUCAAAUAAUAUUUCUUGGAUAGCAGCAUCCAAUGAGGGCAAGGGACUGCGGUGUAACAAGGUAGCCCUAAUAGAUUCAUAUUCUGGACGAAGUCCCAUAAGGACUUUAAUAAGACGAAUAUUAUCUUUACUAAUUUUAGCUUGAUCAUGUUGAGUCCAUAUAGGUUGAAGCAUGGCUAGUUACUCAUUGACUGAUUGACCAGCUUCUUAAUUAAGAUUAACAAGAUUAUUGUGCAAUUGAUAGUAAUGCGCUAAUCCGACGGACUUAAAUCGUGUAGACAGAAAAUCCCAUUACUCCUUAGCACUUUUAGAAGCAUCAAAUUGUGUAUAGAUAGCAGGAAUUGAUGUGUUACUAAGCCAGGUGAUAAUCUGAUGAUUUUUGUUGUCCCAUUCUUCAAGGCGUUCGAUAAAUUUGUCAUCAUCUUCCUUGUCUUGUUUGGUCGGCUUGGUAAUAUCACCCGUGACAAUACGCCAUAAUUUUUGUCCAAUUAAGAAGCUUUUUAUUUGAUUUGCCCAUGUAAUAUAAUUAGAGCCAUUAAGAAUUGUGCUAAUUAGACGAGCAAUUUCACUUUUCUCCAUCUACUCACAAGAAGAAACCAAGUCAGCGAACGACAAUAAUAAAUAAAUAAAAUGAGGGGGUUUUCGGGUCGGGUUUCAGGCUAGGGGCUGCGUGCGGUUUCGGGUCGGGUUUCGGCGUGAGGAAACAGGAGCUGGAGCGAGUUUCGGAUUUCGGCUUCAGGUCUCACGAAGAUGAAGACGCACGCUCAAAUUUCGGCUUCGGGUCUGUGAGGAGACAGCGUCGGAUCUGAUGGAGAUGCACGCUCGACUUUUGGGUCUGAUUCCGGCUUCGGGUCAGUGAAGAGACGGCGUCGGAUCUGAUGGAGACGCACGCUCGACUUUCGGGUCGGAUAGGCACGCGAAGACAUAUGAUGGAGCGGUUUUCGACUUUCGGCUUCGGACGGCUGGAGACGGGUUUCACGGAGAUCGGAGCGUCGAUGGAGGUCAGAGAUUGGAGCGUGAUGCGGCUAAGCUUCGAUGGAGGCGGUGGCUCGUGCCUGGCUUUGACUGGGUUUCACGGAGACCGCCUCCCACGCACACAAACUGGCGCGGCUUCGAAGAUCUAGAAGUGCACAGAGAAGACGCGGGCGUCGGAUGGGUGUCGGCGGCGGCGAACGCAGGCGUCGAAUGGGUUGUGACAACGGCGGUUUGAACAGUAACCUAGGUUAAAGAAGGCUCUGAUACCAUGUAAAGUUAUUAUUGAAUAUUUUCUCUUGUAUGUUUACAUCAAGGAGAAGAGGAGAUAAAUACAAGUUCCUAUGAGAUAAGAAAGGCAACAAAUAAUACAAAAUAAGAUAAUAUCUUCUUAAUUACAAUAGAAUAUAUAUACAUUAAUAAAAGACAUGCAUGAAAUAGAUA